CCGACCUUAGCUCAGUUGGUAGAGCGGAGGACUGUAGUUGACGCAGAUUAUACUUAGGUCACUGGUUCGAAUCCGGUAGGUCGGA
This is a transfer RNA of Arabidopsis lyrata subsp. lyrata, 85 nucleotides long. It matches the Rfam family "tRNA". Rfam says of the family: Transfer RNA (tRNA) molecules are approximately 80 nucleotides in length. Their secondary structure includes four short double-helical elements and three loops (D, anti-codon, and T loops). Lineage: Eukaryota; Viridiplantae; Streptophyta; Magnoliopsida; Brassicales; Brassicaceae. The record is from Rfam.